This 486-nucleotide ribosomal RNA is filed under the name soil fungal sp. DM2-060. RNAcentral describes it as "eukaryotic LSU rRNA". It matches the Rfam family "Eukaryotic large subunit ribosomal RNA", at positions 100 to 585 of the family's 3401-position model. The record is from RNAcentral. Lineage: Eukaryota; Fungi.
GGGAAGAGCUCAAAUUUAAAAUCUGGCUUGCUUGCCAGUCCGAGUUGUAGUCUGAACAAACGUUUUCCAUGAAAGCUGAGGCACAAGUCCUUUGGAACAGGGCAUCAUANAGGGUGAGAAUCCCGUCCAUGGUCUCAUGCAUUUUAUUUUGUGAUACGUUUUCUAAGAGUCAGGUUGUUUGGGAAUGCAGCCUAAAAUGGGUGGUAAAUUUCAUCUAAAGCUAAAUAUUGGCGAGAGACCGAUAGCGAACAAGUACCGUGAGGGAAAGAUGAAAAGAACUUUGAAAAGAGAGUUAAAAAGUACGUGAAAUUGUUGAAAGGGAACCGUUUGAGGCCAGUCUUGCUUACUUGUGAUCAAUCUUANCUUCGGNUUGGAUGCACUCUCUAGUUAUGCAGGUCAACGUCNGUUUGAGAGGUGGGAAAAAAGUUUGAGGAAUGUGNNCUUCGGGUGUUAUANCCUCUUACUAAAUACCAUCUCCUGGACUGA